AUACCUACCUGGCAGGGGAGAUACCAUGAUCAUGAAGGUGGUUUUCCCAGGGCGAGGCUUAUCCAUUGCCCCCUGGAUGUGCUGACCCCUUUGAUUUCCCCAAAUGUGGGAAACUCAACUGCAUAAUUUGUGGUAGUGGGGGACUGCGUUUGCGCUUUCCCCUG
Molecule: small nuclear RNA, 164 nt
Organism: Pongo abelii (Sumatran orangutan)
Lineage: Eukaryota; Metazoa; Chordata; Mammalia; Primates; Hominidae
Gene: U1
Rfam family: U1 spliceosomal RNA
About the family: U1 is a small nuclear RNA (snRNA) component of the spliceosome (involved in pre-mRNA splicing). Its 5' end forms complementary base pairs with the 5' splice junction, thus defining the 5' donor site of an intron.
Source: Ensembl